This is a long non-coding RNA of Gossypium arboreum, 792 nucleotides long. RefSeq lists it as uncharacterized. The transcript has 3 exons. NCBI's taxonomy places the organism in Eukaryota, Viridiplantae, Streptophyta, Magnoliopsida, Malvales, Malvaceae. The record is from RefSeq and is a predicted model, not a curated record.
UGCAAAUUUUAAUUCAACUAACUUAAACGGGGUCAUUUGUUUAGCCCUGAAUUUCCCUAGUUUUCCACCAAAUCAGAUUUCCCCAAUUUCAUUCCCCCAAUUUCCCAAUUUCUUUUCCCCUAUUUUCCCCAAUGGCAUCUUCCCCAAAUUAUUUCCUACAACUCCCAAUCCCCAACUGAUUGAAAUCCUCAAUUUCUGAAAUCCCUUUUCUCUUCGUCGCAGCCUUUUCUCUCUCCUAUAGCCUAUUCUCUUCGCCGCUGCCGCUGCCGCUGGAAAUUUGAGUGCUAUAGUCAACUGCAGCAGAAAGUAGUCUUUUCGAUCAAUUGAUAAACUGCUGAGAAUUCAAUCCUGAAGCAGCCCCAGUAACUUGCAGCUUUUACUUUCUUGCAGCCUUUACUUUCUUGUGGACUUUAAGAGUGUGUUCUUACUUUGUGAUUGCAAAAAAAUAACAAAAUAAGGAAGGAAGAGGGCUUACCAGAACACGGCCUUGAAUCAAGGUUGAAAACCCAUUUUUUAAGUGCUGCUGGCCACCGAGUGUGGUGGUGUUUCAGUCUUGCGGUGGGGGGAAAGAACCAAUCGGCGCAUGGAGAUUGGAAUGUAGCCUUAGCAGAGCAAGAAUGGGAACGCUUUUUUUUUAAUUCAAUGCAAAUGGUUUUGGGCAAACAAAAUGGUUUAAUAUUUUAUGUAUAAUAAAAUGGUGUUGUUUGGGUUAAAUGGGUAGGAUCUGCACAUUCUAGCCUAAAAUGGGAAAUUUCAUGAUCAAUCCCCAUCUUUUGCACCGCUAUUUAAUUA